UACAGAGGUCCCAAGCGUUGUUCGGAUUCAUUGGGCGUAAAGGGUGCGUAGGUGGUGAGGUAAGUCGGAUGUGAAAGCUCGGAGCUCAACUCCGAAAUGGCAUUGGAAACUACCUUGCUCGAGUACGGGAGAGGGGGGUGGAAUUCCUGGUGUAGGGGUGAAAUUCGUUGAUAUCAGGAGGAACACCGGCGGCGAAGGCGGCCCCCUGGCCCGCAACUGACGCUCAUGGUCGAAAGCGUGGGGAGCAAACAGG
Molecule: ribosomal RNA, 253 nt
Filed under: uncultured bacterium
Lineage: Bacteria
Description: partial 16S ribosomal RNA
Rfam family: Bacterial small subunit ribosomal RNA
Source: RNAcentral